AUUGAAUGCUGGCGGCAGGCCUAACACAUGCAAGUCGAGCGGAUGAAGGGAGCUUGCUCCUGGAUUCAGCGGCGGACGGGUGAGUAACGCCUAGGAAUCUGCCUGGUAGUGGGGGAUAACGUCCGGAAACGGGCGCUAAUACCGCAUACGUCCUGAGGGAGAAAGUGGGGGUUCUUCGGACCACCCGCUACCAGAUGAGCCUAGGCCGGAUUAGCUAGUUGGUGGGCUAAAGGCCUACCAAGCCGAUGAUCCGUAACUGGUAUAAGAAGAUGAUCAGUCAGACUGGAACUAAAACACGGUCCACGCUACUACGGCAGGCAGCAGUGGGCGAUAUUUAACAAUCAGCGAACGCCUGAUCCAGCCAUGCCGCGUAUUGUAAGAAGAUCUUCGGGUUGUAGAAGACUUUGGUUUCGGAGGAACAGCAGUAAGAUAAUACCUUGCUGUAUUGACGUUACCUACAGAAUAAGCACAGACUAACUUCGUG
Molecule: ribosomal RNA, 484 nt
Filed under: uncultured bacterium
Lineage: Bacteria
Description: partial 16S ribosomal RNA
Rfam family: Bacterial small subunit ribosomal RNA
Source: RNAcentral